AUAACGACUCUCGGCAACGGAUAUCUCGGCUCUCGCAUCGAUGAAGAACGCAGCAAAAUGCGAUACUUGGUGUGAAUUGCAGAAUCCCGUGAAUCAUCGAGUCUUUGAACGCAAGUUGCGCCCGAAGCCAUUAGGUUGAGGGCACGUCUGCCUGGGUGUCACA
This 163-nucleotide ribosomal RNA is filed under the name Ximenia americana. RNAcentral's name for it is "5.8S ribosomal RNA". It matches the Rfam family "5.8S ribosomal RNA". Rfam says of the family: 5.8S ribosomal RNA (5.8S rRNA) is a component of the large subunit of the eukaryotic ribosome. The record is from RNAcentral. Lineage: Eukaryota; Viridiplantae; Streptophyta; Magnoliopsida; Santalales; Ximeniaceae.